This 582-nucleotide ribosomal RNA is filed under the name Psychrobacter cryohalolentis. RNAcentral describes it as "bacterial SSU rRNA". It matches the Rfam family "Bacterial small subunit ribosomal RNA", at positions 918 to 1499 of the family's 1533-position model. Lineage: Bacteria; Pseudomonadati; Pseudomonadota; Gammaproteobacteria; Moraxellales; Moraxellaceae. The record is from RNAcentral.
GGCCCGCACAAGCGGUGGAGCAUGUGGUUUAAUUCGAUGCAACGCGAAGAACCUUACCUGGUCUUGACAUAUCUAGAAUCCUGCAGAGAUGCGGGAGUGCCUUCGGGAAUUAGAAUACAGGUGCUGCAUGGCUGUCGUCAGCUCGUGUCGUGAGAUGUUGGGUUAAGUCCCGCAACGAGCGCAACCCUUGUCCUUAGUUACCAGCGGGUUAAGCCGGGAACUCUAAGGAUACUGCCAGUGAGGGAGUGGAGGAAGGCGGGGACGACGUCAAGUCAUCAUGGCCCUUACGACCAGGGCUACACACGUGCUACAAUGGUAGGUACAGAGGGCAGCUACACAGCGAUGUGAUGCGAAUCUCAAAAAGCCUAUCGUAGUCCAGAUUGGAGUCUGCAACUCGACUCCAUGAAGUAGGAAUCGCUAGUAAUCGCGGAUCAGAAUGCCGCGGUGAAUACGUUCCCGGGCCUUGUACACACCGCCCGUCACACCAUGGGAGUUGAUUGCACCAGAAGUGGAUAGCUUAACCUUCGGGGGAGCGUUCACCACGGUGUGGUUGAUGACUGGGGUGAAGUCGUAACAAGGUAG